AAUGGAACUUCCUUCCAUGUAAAUAUACUUAAGUUUGAAGCCGAAAAGGAAACUUGGAUUCUUAUGGAAGGAGGUUUACUGGAUUAAGAGGGGAAAUGGCAAGCUUAAGAAACUGGAAGAUACUUCUAAACAGCUUAGUGAUUGGCUGAUCUACCCUGAGACUCAAGAGAAAUGGACAAAAGAAGCACAUCACUUCCCUGCUUAAUAUGGCCAACGGUCAAAUUCAAAGAUUCUAAAAGCAAACACAGGAACUCAUCACUUUGGCUUCAUGAUUCCUGCAUUGAGGAAAGGCAAGGAGCCACCCUCCCCAUGUUUCUCCUCCACUAUAUCACCGUAUGUGGUCCAUGCUGAAACUCUGCUUGUACUACUGAUAUUGUGCAGGAUAAUUAAUUGUACUUCAAAAUCAAAUUGGCAUUUCAAUAUGUUUUUGCAGAGCCUAGUUUCAAUUCCUUUGAAACAAAUUUCACAAAAUAGCAUCUACAUAAAUAGCAUUCAUUGAUUGGACACAGCUGAGUCUGUGAAUCAUGUCAGUCACCUCUCCCCUUAGGCAGACAGAGAACAUCUGUGCUGGAGUUUAUGAAAGAGUUUAUGUAGGACUGUAUUCACACCAUACAUUUAUUCCACUUUAAACAGUCAUGGUUUCCCCCAAAGAAUGCUGGGAAAUGUAGUUUGUGAACAGUGCCAAGAGUUUUUAGGAGACCCCUGUUCCCCUCAUAGAGCUACAAUUCUCAAAGUUCUCUGGAAGAGGAACUGUUAAACCACUCUAGAAAUUGUAGCUCUGUGAGAAUAGGAGUCUCCUAACGACACCCUUCACUAACUACAUUUCUCAGAAUUCUUGGAGGAAGCCAUGACUGUAUAAAAUGGAGUAAUAGUGGAAUAAAAUGUAUGGUGUGAAUAUAGAGGAUAGAGGUAUGUAACUCUUAGGGUUGCACACAGAAGGGGGGAAAAUCCCCUUGUUGAAUAUCACACAUCUCGUUGGCUCAGAUAUGGGUUUAAAAAUUUGAGGGGUUGUUUUUUUAAAAAAGAAGAAUAUUCUCCUAGGUAAGUUUUGUGGGCAAUUGCAUAAAAAUGACAAAUUAUAUAGUGGAACUCCUAGGUAAAUUCCUUGGAAAAUUUCAGAAGGAUAGACUCUGGGAUUAUAAGGUUAUGAUUUAAAAAAAACCAGUAUUUGAACCUAGUAGUUAUUUUGUUUUCUGGUGAAUUUGCACCAAAGCCGCAGCCUCCUAACAUCCCUUCUAGAAGCACUGUGUCUGGAAGAAAAGGAGAGCUCUGGUGAAGUCUUUCCAUGAUUGGAAGCUAGAGCUAUCAAUCAAAGAACUCCACCACCCUCCUCCCUCUGGCCAAUCUGCCUGGCAUUUUCCAUUUAUGGAGAACUUGGAGGAAGUUUCAAAAAUAUAACAAACAGUCAAAAACACCUUAGAAGCUGUCUCUGAAGCCUAACAGCCAGCCCACUUCUUCUCAGACUGCCUUGGAUUCUGAGGUGAUCCAAAUACUUGCACAGCAGGGAGUCUUGCCUUAGAUUGAUGCCUUGUCUGAGGUGAAUGCACAGCCCUAGUAACAGUGUGUAUAACGUAUUUUGUUUCCACUUUGUCAUUAAAAGAUUAUAAGGCCAGACGUGUAAGUAGUUAAGAGGGACAAAUUGUAGAAACAGCUAUAAUUUCAAGGUGGCUAUUUGAUAAAAUGCCCUCAUUUACAUGGUGAAAAGGCAUACUGUGGUAUUUUAUUCUUAUAACUGCAAUAAUAGAACUCUCCAUAUCAUUCCUUACAUAGUCUCUGUCUUCUUUUGCUUCCUUCGCAUGAACCCAUCAAUCCUAGUAGUUGAAAAGCUUUAAAAAGCCAAAGAAAACUUGCAACAGGUGGCAGCGCAUGUGUAAGUCUAAUUUCAGCCUUGAAAUAUUCCCCCCACCCACCAGGAUUCCAUUCUUGGAAAAGAGGAAUUCCAAACUGGAUCUGAUCAAAAGCAAUAUUCAAAGGGUGUGAAGGAUUUGCAACCUUCUACAUCCCAUCUGUUUUAUUUUAGCUCUUUCUCCAUUUUUGUAGUUGCUUCAACUGAAAGAAUAGAACCCAGUAUGGACAAAAGUUAGAUCAGCUUAAGCAUCAUCUUGGUCUUCUGACAGUGCAACCUAUGGGUAAUGCUGUGAAUAAUUCCUCUUGCAAAACCCACAGAAGUCACUGCUAUGUAUCUGGGGUGGGAUCAGCAUAUGGAAUCCACUUUGAAUUUUUUGUAGAUUUUGACCAUGAAAUGGCUCACAACAAAUUAAUGGAGAACCCACUUUGGGCCCCUACACAACAUUGACUGGCAGGCUCCAUGGUUCAGGCUGGCCGCACCCUGAGCAGCCAAUCAGCAGCCCCUGUUUACUUUCAGGGGCAAGGUCUAAAGGACCCACUCUUCCUCCCUUUAUUAAUGGUUUUCUUUGCUGUGGAUUGAGAUUAGCUCCUGGUUGACAGGGCUGGGAAGGAAUUUUACUCUCAGCCACAACUGGCCAUGGCACAAUGACAUUUUUUGCCUUCCCUACAGCAAUGAUUGUACACGGGUCAUAAGUAAGAUUUCACAACUUUAUUUGCAAGCAAGGGAGUUUUCCUUCACUUGUGUUCAGCCAUUUCCCAGCUUGCUUCAUUGGCCUUAACUCUGUUGUUUAGUAUGGAGCAAAUUGGGCUCUGCCAAGCAGAAGAGGAUAUUCAGAAGUGAUUGAGUUGACUGCCUGGGUCAUCCACUCAUUCCACUUAUUGACCAAGGCUUUGACAGAACCGACAGUCAUAAGAGCCAGAAAUUCCCCCAGAAUCAUCUGGAAAUAAAUUGGAUGCAUCAGAAUCCAAGGGCAGACCAUUCUAAUAGAUCCCCCACCCCUGAGGAGGAUAAAAGAUGCUGAAGGUGAUCAGAAGGUGAUCUAGCCACAAGAAGGCAGAGUGUUGCUUGCCACAUGCACAAGGCCAACUGCAUGCUGGGACAGCUCCAUAGUUGUUGUGGUGGCCGUGAAGCCCUGAGUUGUCCCAGAAAGGAGGCCUCAGCACCUUCCAUCAGCUCAGGCAGGGAGACUGCUGGGCAGUAAGACGAGCAGUAAACCAGCAGAGACUCUAAUCCAUUCUGACUGCCCAACACAAGGCACAAAGACCAGAUUCCCACUCAGUUGGACAGGAAUCCUGGAGAGAGAUUGAAUUCCUAUAGAUCACAGUGACUCCCUCCUCCCUGAUCCUCAUGACUGCACUGAUACUGCACCAAGUACCCUGGUGGGCACAGCUGGGAGACACCAGCUCUGCCCUGCUCAUCCACUCACAUUUCAGUAAGACACAUCAGGUCAGCCUCAUCAUCCACGAUCAAAUCAUGAAUGAGGAACAUCUUAUUUAAAACCAACCUGGCAAAGCAUCUGAUCCCUAAGGGUGGUGAUUGAUAGGGCAACCACAAUUUCUCUAGCUAGAGAAGAGGCUGGCACACAGCACAGUCACCAACUGUGAGUGUCACAUCCCCUUCGGAUGGCUUGUCUCUCUUCUCACACCAUACCUCCCCUUACUCUGUAUGAGGACAAGACCUGAAAAAUGUCCUUAGGGACAGAAUUCCAUUAUUUUCCCAUCACCAAUGAAAAGGUUAGUUCCUCCAAAAUAUUUCCUGAGAUUAGCUUAACCCAGCUAAGGACCAUUGCCCUACUUCCUCUUCUUCCCUCCCCCUGGCAGCACCCUUCAGUCAAAACUGCAAAGCAUGCUUCAAUCCAUGAGAAAAAGUUCUAGACAUUUUUUUCCCUGUGGGUGGUGGCAGAGGCAGGGAGGCAUAUGCUUGCUCCACUGCUUCUCCAAUUCUGCUGCUUAAGCCAAAGAGCUAAUCUUCACUCAUGGUAGGGCCAGACCUGUCUUAACCACCAAGAUGGCUCAGAUGGAAAAGGAAUUACGACAGACGUCACCAACCUUUUUUGAAUCCAGGGUUGCAUUUGAAACAUGAAGAAACACAUGCAUGCGCACACGCACGCACAGACAGAGCGCUAAGUACACAUUGUACCUAUUCUGUUGGCUACAAUGGAUUCCUUUCAAGCCUAAUUUCAUCUGGGAGAUGGGACUCUGUGGACACUAAGGAAGGACCUUUGGACACAUGUGUGCCCAUGGGCACCAUAUUGUUGAUUUCUGUACUAAGAUGACUGCAGAAGAAAAAAGAAUAUUGCAAUGCUAUAACAAUUUCCACGUAUAUUAGGAGAUACAACAUAGCAGAAACCAUAAACCUGUUGAGGUUAAAGACCCCCUAUAUAAGGCAUGUGAGGAGAGGUUUCUGAAGUUAAAGCCCUCGUCCUCAAUAUGUGUUUGGUAUAAUACAAUGCAAUGCAUGCCCCUGCAUGAACUACAUGGAUGAAACCAUUCAGGAAUUGAUAUUCCAAAUGCUUUCACCUACAAAAAUUAUAAUGGACAAGAGCAGUAGAUCAUGAGGAUAGGUAACCUUUGUUGGCCUACAAAUCCUGACCAUUGGCUAUGCAGGCUGAGGCUGAUGGGAACUGGAGUCCAAAAACAUCUGGAGGGCCACAAGUUCUUGGU
This is a long non-coding RNA of Rhineura floridana, 4512 nucleotides long. RefSeq lists it as uncharacterized. The transcript is spliced from 4 exons. Lineage: Eukaryota; Metazoa; Chordata; Lepidosauria; Squamata; Rhineuridae. The record is from RefSeq and is a predicted model, not a curated record.